GACGAACGCUGGCGGCGUGCUUAACACAUGCAAGUCGAACGGAAAGGCCCUGCUUUUGUGGGGUGCUCGAGUGGCGAACGGGUGAGUAACACGUGAGUAACCUGCCCUUGACUUUGGGAUAACUUCAGGAAACUGGGGCUAAUACCGGAUAGGAGCUCCUGCUGCAUGGUGGGGGUUGGAAAGUUUCGGCGGUUGGGGAUGGACUCGCGGCUUAUCAGCUUGUUGGUGGGGUAGUGGCUUACCAAGGCUUUGACGGGUAGCCGGCCUGAGAGGGUGACCGGACACAUUGGGACUGAGAUACGGCCCAGACUCCUACGGGAGGCAGCAGUGGGGAAUAUUGCACAAUGGGCGGAAGCCUGAUGCAGCAACGCCGCGUGCGGGAUGACGGCCUUCGGGUUGUAAACCGCUUUCGCCUGUGACGAAGCGUGAGUGACGGUAAUGGGUAAAGAAGCACCGGCUAACUAAGUG
This 468-nucleotide ribosomal RNA is filed under the name uncultured bacterium. Its description in RNAcentral is "partial 16S ribosomal RNA". It matches the Rfam family "Bacterial small subunit ribosomal RNA", at positions 28 to 507 of the family's 1533-position model. The record is from RNAcentral.